GGUCUGGUAGCUCAGUUGGAUAGAGUACUUGACUACGAAUCAAGGGGUCGGGGGUUCGAAUCCACCCCAGACCGCCA
This 77-nucleotide transfer RNA is filed under the name Hirschia sp. RNAcentral describes it as "tRNA-Arg". It matches the Rfam family "tRNA". Rfam says of the family: Transfer RNA (tRNA) molecules are approximately 80 nucleotides in length. Their secondary structure includes four short double-helical elements and three loops (D, anti-codon, and T loops). The record is from RNAcentral. Lineage: Bacteria; Pseudomonadati; Pseudomonadota; Alphaproteobacteria; Hyphomonadales; Hyphomonadaceae.